The submitters of this non-coding RNA (81 nucleotides) gave its source as unclassified sequences. The record is from Rfam.
GGGCGGUUGAUGCGUCCCGCGCGGUACAAGCCGGAGGACAUAUGGGGUGCUGCACGGGCCGGAUCGCCCCGGUGGCGGAGC